AUUUCCAGUAAAAUACUAUUCAUAUCAGUACACUAAGGGAUUAGACAUUUAACUUUAAAAAAAAGGGGGGUAUAUGGCUAUCUCCUUAAAAAGAUAUUUUGAUCCCAAAUUUUAUGAGAAAAAAAUUAUUAUGGUCAAGCAGAUGACAAAUUAAUGUUUUGCAUGAUUCCUAAUUUUCCGAAUACCGUAAAUAGUGCUAAUUUAAACAAAAACAUUUGGGUGAUGGCGUUGAAAAGUAAAUAGUUAAUAUUCUCAAAAUAGAACAUACCGCCCC
This 274-nucleotide long non-coding RNA is filed under the name Mytilus galloprovincialis (Mediterranean mussel). The record is from RNAcentral. Lineage: Eukaryota; Metazoa; Mollusca; Bivalvia; Mytilida; Mytilidae.